UUACCAUCUUACCUGGGAUAAGGCCCAAAGAGUUGGGUUCUACUCCAGGCAGCAGGAAGCAAAGACAAGGAGAUUACAGAAUUGACAGGGGAAGGAAAAAUAUCCUCACAUUGCCAUUUAAAAGAUAUGAAAGAGCAACACUCACAGCAAUACUUGAUUCCCACGUUAUUACCUGUAGCUUAAACACUGGUAACUGCAGUCAGAAAUUGGAAAGGAGUCUAAACCUACUGCAAAUACUUCUUCUUUGCUCAUCCCUCUGUAAACUUUCAUCUCUAAUCAGCAACCAACCAACCAACCCUGAAUCACAAUUUAAUUAAACUGGAAAUAAAGGCAACCUGUUCCUGCCUAGCAAAUUAGACAGUACAGCAAGCACCCAUCUCAGGGAGAGAGCUGUGAGGGAUGAGAGAAAGCUACAACACUGAAAAUUGUAUUUAAAAAGUGAAGAAAGAAAGGAAAUUUAGAUGCUACUUUCCUGAAACUGGAUUUCCAGUCAAAGGACUCUCCACUUCUAGGAAAGAAAUUCUGCUGGAUGUCAGGCAAACUCUUCUGUACUGGAUUAUUUCCAGCCAAGGGAGCCAGUUCCCUUUCCAGCAGUGUAGCUGGACAGUAGAAUUCAGGCUCAACUGUUUUUUCACAUAGCAUUGAUUAAUUUGUGAAAUUGUUUCCUCAAAUUGUUUCCUCACCUUGUUCUCAGAACACUUACUGGCAAAUAUAAACUAACAGGUUGGUUGCUGGAAUUCCAGGCUGUGUUUCUUGGUAAUACAUCCAGUCACUAUCAUCUAAAAAUAAGUAACAAGCUACAGUCCUUGAAUUCUUAACAUUUCAGGUAACAAAUGUCUUCAACUGGAACUGCACACUAUUCCUCUUGGAGGUGAAUUAAAAUAAACCAUAAAUCGAUAUUUUCUUUCCUUUAUCCCUGAAAUAGCUUUGUGUUAUCUGUACUCAUAAGGUACCAGGCUUCCCAAGGCUGAAUAUACACAAAUCCAAACCGAAUACAUUUACUUACUUCUUGAGGAUAUGCAUAUAGGAAGGGCAGGAUUAUCUAGCUUGCAAUGAAUGAAUGUGCAAUUGCAAAUUCAAAAAUACAAGUAUUGGUUCUGGCAAAACAGAAGUUUAUGCCUCAAAUGGCCGGUGUGCUCUUGGGGGGCACAUAAAACUGUCUGGAAUAUAUGGCUAAAAUUGUGCUAAUGAUCCCUCUGGCUCACUGGGAUAUUAACAGCUUUGGAUUAACUGCUCUGGACUGUCAAGAGUUCAAAGUAAGUCCUUUUGAAAUAAAAUAGGAUCAUUGGAAAUGAAAUUUGGAGACAGAUCAAUACUCAAAGAUAACUAAGUGUAAAGUCAGACAUAAAGUCUUCAAGUUUAUCCUUGUGGGUACAAAUUGUUGGUGUGAAAGGGAGUGGAGAUAGAGUGUCAUGAUGGACUCUGGAGGGAGCAACUGCUGAACCAACCAAAACAUGGCCUUCAAAAAUUGGAAGCAAAAGAAAAUGAUGAGGAAAAUCUCCUUUGCUCCAACAAGGUCUGACUUGCAGUGCACUGUGUCUCUAAACAAUGCUGAGGCCAGGAUUUCAUUUACUGCUGUGGAAAAACAAGGGCACCUGUUCCUCUAGCAAAUCAGUUUUUGAUAGGAGGAUGAUAACUACUUACCUGUGCAGCCUGACAUUAGAUGUCACAGAAAGAACACAAAGAAUUGAGGGUUUUAUAUUCUUUUCAGAAAUGUAAUUGAUGUAAGUGAUGUAUUUCUACUUCCCUGAGCCAUGCCAUGAAAACCUGGCAGGAGGCCCUUUCCUGCCCUCUCCAGAGAUCAGUGCUGUGGCUGACAGCUCAGUGCCCUCUCCACAGCUCAGUGCUUUGACUCUCCCUGGCCCUGCAGACAGAGGAGCAGAAGGUGGCAGAGCUUACAGCAGGCUGAAGAGUUCCCUGUAGUUCUCAUCACCUUUUCCUUCGGACACCAGGCUGUCCAGCUUAUCGAUCAACUCGGCCUCCACCUGGAGGAAAAGGGAUCAAAUCAAUCACUCAGACACACUUUCAAUGAACCUCAGCUGCCAAAUUGCAAAAGAAGUAAAGAUGAGAAGGAAAAGCAAUUCACCCAGUGGCACACAAAUGGAGUUGGUGCUCUUGCUGCUGAAAUCAUUAAAGGGAGACCUGACUUCAUCCCUGAAUCAGACUGCAUUGUUAUCCAGCCUCGCUGAAAAUCAACCUUGUUAAAACAUGAGCUACUGAAGAAAAUAAAAAAGGUUUGAAAAUUAA
Molecule: long non-coding RNA, 2247 nt
Organism: Pipra filicauda (Wire-tailed manakin)
Lineage: Eukaryota; Metazoa; Chordata; Aves; Passeriformes; Pipridae
Exons: 2
Source: RefSeq, a predicted model, not a curated record